UAGGGAAUCUUCGGCAAUGGGGGGAACCCUGACCGAGCAACGCCGCGUGAGUGAAGAAGGUUUUCGGAUCGUAAAGCUCUGUUGUUAAGGAAGAACGAGUGUGAGAAUGGAAAGUUCAUACUGUGACGGUACUUAACCAGAAAGGGACGGCUAACUACGUGCCAGCAGCCGCGGUAAUACGUAGGUCCCGAGCGUUGUCCGGAUUUAUUGGGCGUAAAGCGAGCGCAGGCGGUUAGAUAAGUCUGAAGUUAAAGGCAGUGGCUCAACCAUUGUAGGCUUUGGAAACUGUUUAACUUGAGUGCAGAAGGGGAGAGUGGAAUUCCAUGUGUAGCGGUGAAAUGCGUAGAUAGAUGGAGGAACACCGGUGGCGAAAGCGGCUCUCUGGUCUGUAACUGACGCGGAGGCUCGAAAGCGUGGGGAGAGAACAGG
This 429-nucleotide ribosomal RNA is filed under the name Bacteroidota bacterium. RNAcentral describes it as "Bacteroidetes bacterium partial 16S ribosomal RNA". It matches the Rfam family "Bacterial small subunit ribosomal RNA", at positions 355 to 776 of the family's 1533-position model. Lineage: Bacteria; Pseudomonadati; Bacteroidota. The record is from RNAcentral.